GACGAACGCUGGCGGCGUGCUUAACACAUGCAAGUCGAGCGGUAAGGCCCUUUCGGGGGUACACGAGCGGCGAACGGGUGAGUAACACGUGGGUGACCUGCCCUCAGCUCUGGGAUAAGCCUGGGAAACUGGGUCUAAUACCGGAUAUGACUCCAUGACGCAUGUUGUGGGGUGGAAAGCCUUGUGCGGCUGAGGAUGGGCCCGCGGCCUAUCAGCUUGUUGGUGGGGNGAUGGCCUACCAAGGCGACGACGGGUAGCCGGCCUGAGAGGGCGACCGGCCACACUGGGACUGAGACACGGCCCAGACUCCUACGGGAGGCAGCAGUGGGGAAUCUUGCGCAAUGGGCGAAAGCCUGACGCAGCGACGCCGCGUGAAGGAUGAAAUCUUUCGGGAUGUAAACUUCGGAAGAAUAGGAAGAAUAAAAUGACGGUACU
Molecule: ribosomal RNA, 435 nt
Filed under: uncultured bacterium
Lineage: Bacteria
Description: bacterial SSU rRNA
Rfam family: Bacterial small subunit ribosomal RNA
Source: RNAcentral